AGUGAACGCUGGCGGUAGGCCUAACACAUGCAAGUCGAACGGCAGCACAGAGGAGCUUGCUCCUUGGGUGGCGAGUGGCGGACGGGUGAGGAAUACAUCGGAAUCUACUCUGUCGUGGGGGAUAACGUAGGGAAACUUACGCUAAUACCGCAUACGACCUACGGGUAAAAGCAGGGGAUCUUCGGACCUUGCGCGAUUGAAUGAGCCGAUGUCGGAUUAGCUAGUUGGCGGGGUAAAGGCCCACCAAGGCGACGAUCCGUAGCUGGUCUGAGAGGAUGAUCAGCCACACUGGAACUGAGACACGGUCCAGACUCCUACGGGAGGCAGCAGUGGGGAAUAUUGGACGAUGGGCGCAAGCCUGAUCCAGCCAUACCGCGUGGGUGAAGAAGGCCUUCGGGUUGUAAAGCCCUUUUGUUGGGAAAGAAAUCCAUCUGGUUAAUACCCGGGUGGGAUGACGGUACCCAAAGAAUAAGCACCGGCUAACUUCGCGCCAGCCGCCGCGGUAA
This 506-nucleotide ribosomal RNA is filed under the name uncultured bacterium. Its description in RNAcentral is "partial 16S ribosomal RNA". It matches the Rfam family "Bacterial small subunit ribosomal RNA", at positions 29 to 523 of the family's 1533-position model. The record is from RNAcentral.